AUACGUAGGGGGCGAGCGUUGUCCGGAAUGACUGGGCGUAAAGGGCGUGUAGGCGGCGGUGUAAGUCUGGAGUGAAAGUCCCGCAUUCAAUGUGGGAAUUGCUUUGGAUACUGCAGUGCUAGAGUGCGGUAGAGGUAAGUGGAAUUCCCAGAGUAGCGGUGAAAUGCGUAGAGAUUGGGAGGAACACCAGUGGCGAAGGCGACUUACUGGGCCGUAACUGACGCUGAGGCGCGAAAGCGUGGGGAGCGAACAGGAUUAGAUACCCUGGUAGUCCACGCGGUAAACGAUGAAUGCUAGGUGUUGCGGGUAUCGACCCCUGCAGUGCCGGAGUAAACACAAUAAGCAUUCCGCCUGGGGAGUACGGCCGCAAGGUUGAAACUCAAAUGAAUUGGCGGGG
RNAcentral lists this ribosomal RNA (397 nucleotides) under uncultured bacterium. RNAcentral describes it as "partial 16S ribosomal RNA". It matches the Rfam family "Bacterial small subunit ribosomal RNA", at positions 523 to 918 of the family's 1533-position model. The record is from RNAcentral.